GCAAUUGUAGCUCAGUUGGUAGAGCCACCACGAUAUAUGCGGGAGGUCUCGAGUUCGAUCCUCGACCAGUGCA
Molecule: non-coding RNA, 73 nt
Organism: Favolaschia claudopus
Lineage: Eukaryota; Fungi; Basidiomycota; Agaricomycetes; Agaricales; Mycenaceae
Source: the annotation of a GenBank genome assembly